Molecule: ribosomal RNA, 375 nt
Filed under: uncultured organism
Description: partial 16S ribosomal RNA
Rfam family: Bacterial small subunit ribosomal RNA
Source: RNAcentral
GUAGGUGGCAAGCGUUGUCCGGGAAUUAUUGGGGCGUAAAGCGCGCGCAGGCGGUUCUUUAAGUCUGAUGUGAAAGCCCACGGGCUCAACCGUGGAGGGUCAUUGGAAACUGGAGAACUUGAGUACAGAAGAGGAAAGCGGAAUUCCACGUGUAGCGGUGAAAUGCGUAGAGAUGUGGAGGAACACCAGUGGCGAAGGCGGCUUUCUGGUCUGUAACUGACGCUGAGGCGCGAAAGCGUGGGGAGCAAACAGGAUUAGAUGCCCUGGUAGUCCACGCCGUAAACGAUGAGUGCUAAGUGUUAGGGGGUUUCCGCCCCUUAGUGCUGCAGCUAACGCAUUAAGCACUCCGCCUGGGGAGUACGGCCGCAAAGGCUG